Molecule: ribosomal RNA, 403 nt
Filed under: uncultured bacterium
Lineage: Bacteria
Description: partial 16S ribosomal RNA
Rfam family: Bacterial small subunit ribosomal RNA
Source: RNAcentral
AUUGAACGCUAGCGGCAGGCCUAACACAUGCAAGUCGAGCGAGCGGCGGACGGGUGAGUAAUGUAUGGGGACUGCCCGAUAGAGGGGGAAUACUACUGGAAACGGUAGCUAAUACCGCAUACUAUCGGAUAACCCAUAUGGGAUUAGCUAGUAGGUGAGGUAAUGGCUCACCUAGGCGACGAUCCCUAGCUGGUCUGAGAGGAUGAUCAGCCACACGGGGGCUGAGACACGGCCCAGUCUCCUACGGAGGCAGCAGUGGGGAAUAUUGCAAAAUGGGCGCAAGCCUGAUGCAGCCAUGCCGAGUGUAUGAAGAAGGCCCGAGGGUUGUAAAGUACUUUCAGUCGGGAGGCGUUACCGAGAGAAAAAGCACCGGCUAACUCCGGGCCAGACGCCGCGGUAAUAC